CAGUCGCCGCGGUAAUACGUAGGUGGCAAGCGUUGUCCGGAAUUAUUGGGCGUAAAGGGCUCGCAGGCGGUUUCUUAAGUCUGAUGUGAAAGCCCCCGGCUCAACCGGGGAGGGUCAUUGGAAACUGGGAAACUUGAGUGCAGAAGAGGAGAGUGGAAUUCCACGUGUAGCGGUGAAAUGCGUAGAGAUGUGGAGGAACACCAGUGGCGAAGGCGACUCUCUGGUCUGUAACUGACGCUGAGGAGCGAAAGCGUGGGGAGCGAACAGGAUUAGAGACCCGCGUAGUCCCUGUCUCUUAUAA
Molecule: ribosomal RNA, 301 nt
Filed under: uncultured bacterium
Lineage: Bacteria
Description: partial 16S ribosomal RNA
Rfam family: Bacterial small subunit ribosomal RNA
Source: RNAcentral